UACGGGGGGGGCAAGCGUUGUUCGGAAUUACUGGGCGUAAAGGGCUCGUAGGUGGCCAACUAAGUCAGACGUGAAAUCCCUCGGCUUAACCGGGGAACUGCGUCUGAUACUGGAUGGCUUGAGUGUGGGAGAGGGAUGCGGAAUUCCAGGUGUAGCGGUGAAAUGCGUAGAUAUCUGGAGGAACACCUGUGGCGAAAGCGGCGCACUGGACCAUAACUGACGCUGAGGCGCGAAAGCUAGGGGAGCAAACAGG
Molecule: ribosomal RNA, 253 nt
Filed under: uncultured bacterium
Lineage: Bacteria
Description: partial 16S ribosomal RNA
Rfam family: Bacterial small subunit ribosomal RNA
Source: RNAcentral